Rhodamnia argentea is the source of this 153-nucleotide long non-coding RNA. RefSeq lists it as uncharacterized. NCBI's taxonomy places the organism in Eukaryota, Viridiplantae, Streptophyta, Magnoliopsida, Myrtales, Myrtaceae. The transcript is spliced from 3 exons. The record is from RefSeq and is a predicted model, not a curated record.
GCAGACGAUCUCGUACCAGUCAUCCAGGAAACACCCAGCUCCUAAUCCGAAGGGGAAGGGAAUGGCGACAUUCCCGCAUGUUUCAGAACACUGUGCAGCUCCUGAUGCUUGUGCCGUGAGGGAAACCAGAAGGAAAAGGAUUUGAAGAACCGA